RNAcentral lists this ribosomal RNA (302 nucleotides) under uncultured bacterium. RNAcentral describes it as "bacterial SSU rRNA". It matches the Rfam family "Bacterial small subunit ribosomal RNA", at positions 30 to 346 of the family's 1533-position model. The record is from RNAcentral.
AUUGAACGCUGGCGGCAGGCUUAACACAUGCAAGUCGAACGGAACCUUCGGGUUUAGUGGCGAACGGGUGAGUAACACCUAGGAAUCUGCCCUAUUAGUGGGGGAUAACGGCUCGAAAGGGUCGCUAAUACCGCAUACGCCUACGGAGAAGAGGGGAGUCUUCGGACCUCUUGCUAAUAGAUGAGCCUAGGCCGGAUUAGCUAGUUGGUAGGGUAAAGGCCUACCAAGGCGACGAUCCGUAGCUGGUCUGAGAGGAUGAUCAGCCACACUGGAACUGAGACACGGUCCAGACUCCUACGGGA